RNAcentral lists this long non-coding RNA (461 nucleotides) under Corvus moneduloides (New Caledonian crow). RNAcentral describes it as "lncRNA (ENSCMUG00000019560.1)". The record is from RNAcentral. Lineage: Eukaryota; Metazoa; Chordata; Aves; Passeriformes; Corvidae.
AUUUGGACCUCCCUGUGGUCUUCUUCCCCUUCCCCUUUGGUCCCUGUGUCUCUGUGUUUGAUCCAUGGCUUAAGCAGCUGUUCUGUCCCUGGGAUGGCUUGGUGUUAGUCAAGCCAUCAGUCAGGCUUUUAUCCCCUCUGAUGAAACUCCCUCUUAUGCUUUCUCUUUUAUCCUUGCAGUUCAAAUACUGGGCUUGGUGACCUCCUCGUGGGAUCCCGAAUGCCGUGUCCAGUGUGCCUCCCGGCCCCUGAGGACAACAACUAGGAGACAUUCAGGACUGUGGCUGGAACCAGCAGUGACACUGAGGCUCAGAGGUGAGCCGAGGGACUGAGCAGGGACAGGCAAACGCACGGAGGCACAGGGAGAUGGGGACCAGCGCCACGAUGGGCAGCAAAAAGAAAACGAGGAGAAGUACUAUAAAAAAUGAGAGGAAGGCUUGUCUCUAAGCCUGAGCAACUCCU